UGUUAAAAAUUUUAUUCAUUUCUACUAUUAAAGACUGGCGUGGCUGACGUAAUAACUAGACAACCACAUGAACAUUAUGCUCAUGUACAGGGACCAGUUUUUAAUAGUAAAAAUGGUUAAAAUUUUUGACA
Molecule: non-coding RNA, 131 nt
Organism: Gossypium hirsutum (cotton)
Lineage: Eukaryota; Viridiplantae; Streptophyta; Magnoliopsida; Malvales; Malvaceae
Source: Rfam